RNAcentral lists this long non-coding RNA (921 nucleotides) under Bos indicus x Bos taurus (hybrid cattle). Its description in RNAcentral is "lncRNA (ENSBIXG00005012812.1)". Lineage: Eukaryota; Metazoa; Chordata; Mammalia; Artiodactyla; Bovidae. The record is from RNAcentral.
AUGUCCAUUUACAUUUCAAGGAACAAGCCAGCACCAUUUGCACUGUGGCUCUGGUGUCUGACUCUUCAGACCCAAACCUGUAUCCCUUCCCCCUGGCGAUGGAAAAGCUGGAGAAUUCACCUAAAGCUGGAUCAAGUAAAUGGAACAUCUAGAUGUAGGGUUGGUGUCUUCACAGACCACAUUCUUACCACAUGCAGCAGGAGGCAGGCUGUUGUUUCUACAAUGACUGGACAAAAAUACUGAGUCUUGUGCCAGUUGAACGAGAACAGCUUUGCAGCUGGUAUGCACUGGUACAACUGUGCCCGUUGUUAAAUGGUGAAACACUUCCCUAUAGUUGGUAAAUAGCUGCUUUCCCCCAUAGCUGCUUCCCCAUCAAUGGUCUCUCCCUUCCGUGGUCUCUCCAGCUCCUCCUCCCCGACCCCCAGCCCUUCAGUGGACUCCUUGAUUUAGCAAGAAAAGGAUCAGUGCCGGGUGUAAGAGGGGGCCUUCAGAACCCCGCUGUGGCAUCAUGUCUGCACCUAUUCUGAUUGGUUGGUGCCCUUGCUCUGCUGCUUGCUAGAUAUUUGGAAAAUUUUUCCCACAUUGGAUCACUCUUAAACCAAUCCCUGUGAUUAGGGAAAUUCCAUUUACUGCUUAGCUACACUUCUGAAUUUACACUGUGGCAAUAAGAAGACUUUUUCUUGAUGACUCUAGAGCAAGUUUGAAUAUGCACUAGAAUCACAUGGAAGACAUUUUACAAAUGCAAACUGUAUUUAUUUUUCUCUGACUUACUUCACUAUGUAUAACAGGCUCACUAGAACCGAAUUCAAAUAUGUUCUUUUUUAUGGCCAAGUAAUAUUCCAUUGUAUAUAGGUACCUCAUCUUCUUUAUGUAUGGCAGAAACCAACACAACAUUGUAAAAUGUUUAAUUUUCAAUUAAAA